AACAUAAUUUUCACUUCCCAGCUUUGUGUUGCUUCAUCAUGAAACUUGGAUUCUUCUCUUUUAAGACUUAUCCACGUGAGGAAAAAAGUAUGACCAUCUGUUGCCAGGGUUAUGAUCUACAGAGAUGCAAAAGUUUCUGGAAAGUGGUAUCUCUCAAGUGCUUUUUUCUACCACAACAGUAGAAAGGAACUGAUUGACUAUAACAGAUUUUGGAAGAACUUUAUAGCACCUACUAGAUAAUGUUGUUUUAGAUUACUAAUAAUCUAAGAAUUUUAUAAAACCAAGAAGGAAAGAUGGUGACUUCGGAGCAGCAGCUGUUGUGAGCUCCAAAAAUCAGGAGCUUGAGACCUGGGAUUCUCUGGAUAUGGAUCAAAGAAAACAGGAAAAUUCCAUUCCACCUUCUAUGAAGCCAACAUCACCCUGAUACCAAAAGCAUAUAGGGACAAAACAAAAAAGGAAAACUACAGACCAAUACCUCUGAUGAAUAUAGAUGCCAAAAUACUAAACAAGAUCCUGGCCACUCUGACACAGCAGUAUAUCAGAAAGAUUGCUCAUAACAAUCAAGUGAGAUUUGUCCCAGGAAUGCAAGGAUGGUUCAAAAUAGUUAGGUCAAUCAAUGUCAUUCACCACAUCAAUAAAAGAAAAAACAAAAACCACAUGAUUAUGUCAAUAGAUGCAGAGAAAGACCUCAACAAAAUCCAACACCCAUUAAUGCUCAAAAUACUAUAAAAAAUGGGUGUAGAUGGGAAAUUCCUCAAGAUAGUGGAGUCCAUAUAUAGAAAACCUACAGCCCACAUCAUACUCAGAGGACUGAAAGUAUUACUCAUCAUAUUGGGGACUGGACAAGGCUGUCCAUUAUCACUAUUACUCUUCAACAUAUUGUUGGAAGUUCUUGCCAUAGCAAUCAGGCAAGAGAAAGGAAUCAAAGGAAUACAGAUUGGAAGUUAAGAAGUCAAGCUCUCACUAUUUUCAGAUGAUAUGAUAGUAUACAUAGAAAAACCUAAAGAAUCCAGCAGAAAACUACUGGAAGUUAUUAGGCAAUAUAGCAAGGUGUCAGGCUACAAAAUCAAUGUACAAAAAAUUACUGGCAUUUCUCUAUGCAAACACUAAAUCUGAAGAAGACAUCCAGAAAUCACUCCCAUUAACUGUUGCAGCGACAUCAAUAAAAUACCUAGGAAUAAAGCUGACCAAAGAAGUGAAAGGCUUGUAUACUUAAAACUAUGAAUCAUUAUUCAAGGAAAUAGAAAAUGAUUCCAAGAAAUAAAAAGACAUCCCAUGCUCAUAGAUUGGAAGGAUAAAUGUCAUCAAAAUGAAUAUUCUCCCCAGAGCCAAAUUUAACAUGAUACUCAUCAUAGAUACACCAAGAUUCUUUAUCAGAAUAGAACAAAAAGUAUAAUCAUUUAUCCGGAACCAGCAAAUACCACAAAUUGCCAAAACAAUUGUGAGGAAAAAGAACAGAAAUGGAGGCAUCACACACUCAGAUCUCAAACUAUAUUAUAAGGCCAUCAUUAUCAAAACAGGCUGGUACUGGAACAAAAAUAGGCAUACAGACCAGUGGAACAGAAUCAAAACCCCAGAGAUAAAUGCCACAUCCAUGGACAUCUAAUUUUGGCUAAGGGGACCCAAAGUAUUAAACCAAGAAAGGAAGCUCUCUUCACUAAAUGUUCCUGGGAAAACUGGGUUGGAACAUGAAGAAAAAUGAAAGUGAACCACUCACCAGAAACAAAAAUCAACUCCAAAUGGAUCAAGGACCUGGAUGUUAGACCAGAAACUAUUAAUUACUUAGAGGAAAACAUUGGUGGAACACUUUCCCACCUAAACCUCAAGGACAUUUUUGAUGAUAUAAACCUCAUUGCAAGGAAGGCUAAAGCAGAAACAAGCCAAUGGGACUACAUCAAAUUAUAAAGCUUCUGUACAGCCAAAGAAACUAUCACACAAACAAAGAGACCCCUUACAGAAUGGGAGAAGAUAUUCACAUACCAUACAUCAGACAAGAGACUAAUAAAAAAAUAUACAACUGACCCCAUCCAAAAAUGGGCAGAGGAUAUGAACAGAACAUUCACUACAGAAGUGAUCCAAAAGGCUAACAAACACAUGAGAAAUUGCUCUAGGUCACUGUUUGUCAGAGAAAUGCAAAUAAAGACAACAUUGAGAAACCACCUCACUCCUGCGAGAAUGGCAUAUAUCGAAAAGGACAGCAACAACAAAUGCUGGAGAGACUGGGGGACAAAGGAACCCUUGUGCACUGCUGGUGGGAAUGUAAAUUGGUCCAGCCUCUGUGGAGAGCAGUCUGGAGAACUCUAAUAAGGCUAGACAUGGACCUUCCAUAAAACCCAGUAAUUCAUCUCCUUGGGAUAUACCCCAAGGACUCCAUAACACCCACCCAAAAAGAAAUGUGUACACCUAUGUUUAUAGCAGCACAAUUCAUAAUAGCUAAAACUUGGAAGCAACGUAGGUGCCCAACACCAGAUGAGUGACUGAGAAAGUUAUGGUAUAUAUACACAAUGGACUAUUAUGCAGCUCCUAAGAACAAUGAACCCACCUUCUCUGACCUAUCUUGGAUGGGCUU
Long non-coding RNA from Erinaceus europaeus (western European hedgehog), 2569 nucleotides. RefSeq lists it as uncharacterized. The record is from RefSeq and is a predicted model, not a curated record. The transcript is spliced from 3 exons. Lineage: Eukaryota; Metazoa; Chordata; Mammalia; Eulipotyphla; Erinaceidae.